UGCACUGUGACCUUGAAG
RNAcentral lists this unclassified non-coding RNA (18 nucleotides) under Mus musculus (house mouse). Its description in RNAcentral is "oocyte_clustered_small_RNA3528". Lineage: Eukaryota; Metazoa; Chordata; Mammalia; Rodentia; Muridae. The record is from RNAcentral.